UUCUAAAAAAUUUAUGAUAUCCUGCAGCCAAAUUAUGAUUUUCUAUAUAUAGAAUAUCAUAAUUUUUCUUCUAAAAAAUUUAAAGAAUAUAUAUUUUUAUCAUUGAAAAUUUAUAAAACUUUUAAAUGAUAAAAAUAUCCUUCCCUUAUGAUAUCCUGUGAUCAAAUUAUGACUUUCUGUAUGCAGAAAAUCAUAAUUGAAUCACAGGAUAUC
This 213-nucleotide long non-coding RNA is filed under the name Elaeis guineensis (African oil palm). Its description in RNAcentral is "long non-coding RNA (EGUI_LNC023019)". The record is from RNAcentral. Lineage: Eukaryota; Viridiplantae; Streptophyta; Magnoliopsida; Arecales; Arecaceae.